Molecule: ribosomal RNA, 513 nt
Filed under: uncultured bacterium
Lineage: Bacteria
Description: partial 16S ribosomal RNA
Rfam family: Bacterial small subunit ribosomal RNA
Source: RNAcentral
GACGAACGCUGGCGGCAUGCCUAAUACAUGCAAGUCGAGCGAACAGAUGAAGUGCUUGCACUUCUGACGUUAGCGGCGAACGGGUGAGUAACACGUAAGGAAUCUACCUAUAAGCGGGGGAUAACAUUCGGAAACGGGUGCUAAUACCGCAUAAUAUCUUCUUCCGCAUGGAAGAAGAUUGAAAGACGGCUCUGCUGUCACUUAUAGAUGACCUUGCGGUGCAUUAGUUAGUUGGUGGGGUAACGGCCUACCAAGACGAUGAUGCAUAGCCGACCUGAGAGGGGGAUCGGCCACAUUGGGACGGAGGCACGGCCCAAACUCCUACGGGAGGCAGCAGUAGGGAAUCUUCCGCAAUGGGCGAAAGCCUGACGGAGCAAUGCCGCGUGAGUGAAGAAGGCCUUCGGGUCGUAAAACUCUGUUAUAAGAGAAGAACAAAUUGUAGAGUAACUGCUACAGUCUUGACGGUAUCUUAUCAGAAAGCCACGGCUAACUACGUGCCAGCAGCCGCGGUAA